ACGUAGGUGGCAAGCGUUGUCCGGAAUCACUGGGCGUAAAGGGCGCGUAGGUGGCUCGUUAAGUGGCUGGUGAAAUCCCGGGGCUCAACUCCGGGGCUGCCGGUCAGACUGGCGGGCUAGAGCACGGUAGGGGCAGAUGGAAUUCCGGGUGUAGCGGUGGAAUGCGUAGAGAUCCGGAAGAACACCGGUGGCGAAGGCGG
Molecule: ribosomal RNA, 200 nt
Filed under: uncultured prokaryote
Description: partial 16S ribosomal RNA
Rfam family: Bacterial small subunit ribosomal RNA
Source: RNAcentral